Molecule: long non-coding RNA, 475 nt
Organism: Glycine soja
Lineage: Eukaryota; Viridiplantae; Streptophyta; Magnoliopsida; Fabales; Fabaceae
Exons: 3
Source: RefSeq, a predicted model, not a curated record
UUUCCGUCGAAAAAGUAUUAGUUUCCAACGGAAAUUUUCGGCAAAUAAUAUUCCGUCGAAAAUGUUUAUGCUAUUGAUGGAAUUUUCCGACAAAAAGCAUUCCUUCGGAAAACCUUUGUUAUCAAUGGAUUGUGGCCCAUGGAUUUGGGUUUGUCCGAAAUAAUUCACAAGAUAAGGAAGCAACCCUAGCGCCGUCCUUUUUUUCACUUCACAUUGACUCUGACCUCACUCACUCUUCAAUGCCCCGAGUCCACGUUCCCCAGCUGUUGCAGCCACCAGGUCGCCGUCACACAUGCCGCACCACCUUCGCGUAAGCUGCCGCGAAGUUGCUUUCGUGGCUGCCGUCACCUAUAUAGAAAAUACAGGCAUUGUUUUCCAGGGAUACACUUCAGAUCAAAGGAGGGCAGCCUCCCUUCCCGCGACUGAUGAUUAGGUGGAUGACUAUGAAGAACCUGAUGCUAGAGGACACGGGAAC